Molecule: ribosomal RNA, 303 nt
Filed under: uncultured bacterium
Lineage: Bacteria
Description: partial 16S ribosomal RNA
Rfam family: Bacterial small subunit ribosomal RNA
Source: RNAcentral
AGCAGUACCGCGGUAAUACGUAGGUGGCAAGCGUUGUCCGGAAUUAUUGGGCGUAAAGGGCUCGCAGGCGGUUUCUUAAGUCUGAUGUGAAAGCCCCCGGCUCAACCGGGGAGGGUCAUUGGAAACUGGGAAACUUGAGUGCAGAAGAGGAGAGUGGAAUUCCACGUGUAGCGGUGAAAUGCGUAGAGAUGUGGAGGAACACCAGUGGCGAAGGCGACUCUCUGGUCUGUAACUGACGCUGAGGAGCGAAAGCGUGGGGAGCGAACAGGAUUAGAUACCCCCGUAGUCCCUGUCUCUUAUACA